Molecule: unclassified non-coding RNA, 385 nt
Filed under: Hevea brasiliensis (rubber tree)
Lineage: Eukaryota; Viridiplantae; Streptophyta; Magnoliopsida; Malpighiales; Euphorbiaceae
Source: RNAcentral
GUAGUCUCCUCCUCACUAAUGUCACAACGGUUCAUUCCAGGCAGCCAGUAUAACAUACUGCAUAUCCACCUCUCAGGCAGUUGCGCAGGUUUUGUACCAUAUGGAAGAAGACGCCACCUCUCACAUUUAUCACAGGCAACCCAAUCUUCUUCAAUAAAGACAGGAGCAACUGGUGGCUCAGCUCCAGAGGUCAGCUCUUUCACAUCAUGUAUGCCCAUGGCUGAAGGAUCCUUCAUAGGGGUCGCACAUGCCACAUGACUAUCAGCUUUUUUGCAUGGGACCUGUCUUGAUUUAGAAGAAGAUGAAUGCUGUCCUUUACGUGCCUCUAGUUUAGAUUUCUUCAACUUAUCACCUGGAGGUCUACCCAGUUGAUUUGUGGGUUUUU